This 496-nucleotide ribosomal RNA is filed under the name uncultured bacterium. RNAcentral's name for it is "partial 16S ribosomal RNA". It matches the Rfam family "Bacterial small subunit ribosomal RNA", at positions 28 to 506 of the family's 1533-position model. The record is from RNAcentral.
GAUGAACGCUGGCGGCGUGCCUAAUACAUGCAAGUCGAGCGAACGGACGAGAAGCUUGCUUCUCUGAUGUUAGCGGCGGACGGGUGAGUAACACGUGGAUAACCUACCUAUAAGACUGGGAUAACUUCGGGAAACCGGAGCUAAUACCGGAUAAUAUUUUGAACCGCAUGGUUCAAAAGUGAAAGACGGUCUUGCUGUCACUUAUAGAUGGAUCCGCGCUGCAUUAGCUAGUUGGUAAGGUAACGGCUUACCAAGGCAACGAUGCAUAGCCGACCUGAGAGGGUGAUCGGCCACACUGGAACUGCGGCCCGGUCCAGACUCCUACGGGAGGCAGCAGUAGGGAAUCUUCCGCAAUGGGCGAAAGCCUGACGGAGCAACGCCGCGUGAGUGAUGAAGGUCUUCGGGUCGUAAAACUCUGUUAUUAGGGAAGAACAUAUGUGUAAGUAACUGUGCACAUCUUGACGGUACCUAAUCAGAAGGCCACGGCUAACUACGU